Oncorhynchus masou masou (cherry salmon) is the source of this 983-nucleotide long non-coding RNA. RefSeq lists it as uncharacterized. The record is from RefSeq and is a predicted model, not a curated record. The transcript is spliced from 5 exons. NCBI's taxonomy places the organism in Eukaryota, Metazoa, Chordata, Actinopteri, Salmoniformes, Salmonidae.
UUGCAGCCUCUCCUCUGCCAGCCUUCAUCAUCAGACACGUUGUAGUGCUGCUGAUCCUACUGACAGCCAUCACCACCUCCUACCUGUACUACAAGCCCACCAGGAGGCAGAAGAGAGUGAACAGGGUGAGCAGCAUGGAUCUUUAUGUCAAUGCCAUGGAGAUGGUCUCUCUGAGCUCCAGAGCUGAAGCUGGACCGGGAGAGGAGAGAGCAGCCCAGGGGACGGAGUAGGAGGAGAAUGAAGCUGACCCUACAUGCUGAUCUUAGAUCUCCAGGUUCAAAGCGUCAGUCCACCAGCUUACCUCUCAGUCAGACUGGUGGAUGGGACCACUUCCUGUUCUGGGACAAUGGAAGUCUUCUACAUUAGAGGGUGGUCACGUCUAUGUUUUGGGUGGCUGGGCAUGAUGAGAAAGACUAAGGUUUUGUGUAGAGAGCUGAACUGUGGGAAUGUUGUAGGUGAAUCUAGAGGACGUCUGGUUGAAGAUGGAAGAAGAGGAGUCUUCCUAUCUAGAAGAUGUAGUGGAAAUGAGUCUUCUAUUAGACAGUGUGACAACAUAGAAGGACCUGGUGGCUGUCAUGGUGGAUAUUAUCAUCAUGUGACCUGUUCAGACUCUGUGCGUCUUGUGGAUGGAGCUGGUCUCUGCUCUGGGAGAGUGGAGGUGAAGUCCAAUCAGUCCUGGGCCUCAGUGUGUGAAGCUGACUUUGACCAGCAGGAUGCAGAGGUAGUCUGUAGGGAUCUUGGCUGUGGGGCUCUUGCAGCUCUACAGGGGGGGCUCUAUGGAGAAGGUGAGGGUCAGACCUGGGAUAAAGAGUUCCAGUGUAAAGGCAAAGAGUCCCUUCUCCUGGACUGUGACACCUCAGACAGAGAGAACAACACCUGCCUACCUGGUAAUGCUGUUGGACUCACCUGCUCAGGUAAGAAACAGUUUGUCACUCAAUCAACAUUGUUUCUCACCUGGAGUGAAGAAUGAGACAAUAUAGGUG